Molecule: ribosomal RNA, 471 nt
Filed under: uncultured Bacteriovoracaceae bacterium
Lineage: Bacteria; Pseudomonadati; Bdellovibrionota; Bacteriovoracia; Bacteriovoracales; Bacteriovoracaceae
Description: bacterial SSU rRNA
Rfam family: Bacterial small subunit ribosomal RNA
Source: RNAcentral
AGCGAACGCUGGCGGCGUGCUUAACACAUGCAAGUCGAACGAGAAAGCCCUUCGGGGUGAGUAGAGUGGCGCACGGGUGAGUAACACGUAGGUGACCUACCAUGUAGUGGGGGAUAACUAGGAGAAAUUCUAGCUAAUACCGCAUACGUUGAACAAUUUUGAAAGUAGUUCAAGAAAGAAUGCCUCUAUAGUAUGCAUUCGCUAUUUGAUGGGCCUGCGGGACAUUAGCUUGAUGGUGGGGUAACGGCCUACCAUGGCGACGAUGUCUAGCGGAUCUGAGAGGAUGAUCCGUCACACUGGAACUGAGACACGGUCCAGACUCCUACGGGAGGCAGCAGUGGGGAAUCUUGCACAAUGGAGGAAACUCUGAUGCAGCGAUGCCGCGUGAGUGAAGAAGGCCCUUGGGUUGUAAAGCUCUUUUGUCGGGAAAGAUAAUGACUGUACCCGAAGAAUAAGGUCCGGCUAACUUCG